Molecule: ribosomal RNA, 530 nt
Filed under: uncultured bacterium
Lineage: Bacteria
Description: partial 16S ribosomal RNA
Rfam family: Bacterial small subunit ribosomal RNA
Source: RNAcentral
UGGGGAAUAUUGGACAAUGGGCGCAAGCCUGAUCCAGCCAUGCCGCGUGAGUGAUGAAGGCCUUAGGGUUGUAAAGCUCUUUCGCCGGUGAAGAUAAUGACGGUAACCGGAGAAGAAGCCCCGGCUAACUUCGUGCCAGCAGCCGCGGUAAUACGAAGGGGGCUAGCGUUGCUCGGAAUCACUGGGCGUAAAGCGCACGUAGGCGGAUCGUUAAGUCAGGGGUGAAAUCCUGGAGCUCAACUCCAGAACUGCCCUUGAUACUGGCGAUCUCGAGUUCGAGAGAGGUUGGUGAACUCCGAGUGUAGAGGUGAAAUUCGUAGAUAUUCGGAAGAACACCAGUGGCGAAGGCGGCCAACUGGCUCGAUACUGACGCUGAGGUGCGAAAGCGUGGGGAGCAAAACAGGAUUAGAUACCCUGGUAGUCCACGCCGUAAACGAUGGAUGCUAGCCGUUGGGGGGUUUGACCUCUCAGUGGCGCAGCUAACGCCUUAAGCAUCCCGCCUGGGGAGUACGGUCGCAAGAUUAAAACUU